Molecule: ribosomal RNA, 793 nt
Filed under: uncultured bacterium
Lineage: Bacteria
Description: bacterial SSU rRNA
Rfam family: Bacterial small subunit ribosomal RNA
Source: RNAcentral
AGAGUUUGAUCAUGGCUCAGGAUGAACGCUAGCGGCAGGCUUAAUACAUGCAAGUCGUGGGGCAGCAGGGGUAGCAAUACUCGCUGGCGACCGGCAAACGGGUGCGGAACACGUACACAACCUUCCUUAAAGUGGGGAAUAGCCCAGGGAAACUUGGAUUAAUACCCCGUAAUAUUAUUAGAUGGCAUCAUUUGAUAAUUAUAGCUCCGGCGCUUAAAGAUGGGUGUGCGGCUGAUUAGGUAGUUGGCGGGGUAACGGCCCACCAAGCCUACGAUCAGUAACUGGUGUGAGAGCACGACCAGUCACACGGGCACUGAGACACGGGCCCGACUCCUACGGGAGGCAGCAGUAAGGAAUAUUGGUCAAUGGACGCAAGUCUGAACCAGCCAUGCCGCGUGGAGGAUGAAGGUCCUCUGGAUUGUAAACUUCUUUUAUCUGGGAAGAAACCCAAGGUUUCUACUUUGGUUGACGGUACCAGAUGAAUAAGCACCGGCUAACUCCGUGCCAGCAGCCGCGGUAAUACGGAGGGUGCAAGCGUUAUCCGGAUUCACUGGGUUUAAAGGGUGCGUAGGUGGGCUAGUAAGUCAGUGGUGAAAUCUCCGGGCUUAACCCGGAAACUGCCAUUGAUACUAUUAGUCUUGAAUGUCGUGGAGGUAAGCGGAAUAUGUCAUGUAGCGGUGAAAUGCUUAGAUAUGACAUAGAACACCGAUAGCGUAGGCAGCUUGCUACACGAAUAUUGACACUGAGGCACGAAAGCGUGGGGAUCAAACAGGAUUAGAUACCCUAGUAGUCC